RNAcentral lists this ribosomal RNA (498 nucleotides) under Saccharomyces cerevisiae (brewer's yeast). Its description in RNAcentral is "eukaryotic LSU rRNA". It matches the Rfam family "Eukaryotic large subunit ribosomal RNA", at positions 108 to 609 of the family's 3401-position model. Lineage: Eukaryota; Fungi; Ascomycota; Saccharomycetes; Saccharomycetales; Saccharomycetaceae. The record is from RNAcentral.
CUCAAAUUUGAAAUCUGGUACCUUCGGUGCCCGAGUUGUAAUUUGGAGAGGGCAACUUUGGGGCCGUUCCUUGUCUAUGUUCCUUGGAACAGGACGUCAUAGAGGGUGAGAAUCCCGUGUGGCGAGGAGUGCGGUUCUUUGUAAAGUGCCUUCGAAGAGUCGAGUUGUUUGGGAAUGCAGCUCUAAGUGGGUGGUAAAUUCCAUCUAAAGCUAAAUAUUGGCGAGAGACCGAUAGCGAACAAGUACAGUGAUGGAAAGAUGAAAAGAACUUUGAAAAGAGAGUGAAAAAGUACGUGAAAUUGUUGAAAGGGAAGGGCAUUUGAUCAGACAUGGUGUUUUGUGCCCUCUGCUCCUUGUGGGUAGGGGAAUCUCGCAUUUCACUGGGCCAGCAUCAGUUUUGGUGGCGGGAUAAAUCCAUAGGAAUGUAGCUUGCCUCGGUAAGUAUUAUAGCCUGUGGGAAUACUGCCAGCUGGGACUGAGGACUGCGACGUAAGUCAA